This is a non-coding RNA of Pseudonaja textilis, 200 nucleotides long. Lineage: Eukaryota; Metazoa; Chordata; Lepidosauria; Squamata; Elapidae. The record is from RefSeq and is a predicted model, not a curated record.
AUCCCCCCUCUUUGGAAGAGCUUUAUAGCUCCUGCUGUCUUAAGAAAGUUCAAAACUUUCUCAGAGAUCUAUCUCAUCCUGAGAACCCUUUGUUUCAACUAUUACCAUCUGGCAGAUGGUACAGAAUAAUAAAAAUAAAGACAAAUUGGCGGAAAAACAUCUUCUAUCCCAGGGCAGUAGCUCUUUUGAAUUCUGCUGCA